UACAGAGGGUGCGAGCGUUAAUCGGAAUUACUGGGCGUAAAGGGCUCGUAGGCGGCCAACUAAGUCCGACGUGAAAUCCCAAAGCUUAACUUUGGAACUGCGUCGGAUACUGGAUGGCUUGAAUUCGGGAGAGGGAUGCAGAAUUCCAGGUGUAGCGGUGAAAUGCGUAGAUAUCUGGAGGAAUACCGGUGGCGAAGGCGGCAUCCUGGACCGACAUUGACGCUGAGGAGCGAAAGCUAGGGGAGCAAACAGG
Molecule: ribosomal RNA, 253 nt
Filed under: uncultured bacterium
Lineage: Bacteria
Description: partial 16S ribosomal RNA
Rfam family: Bacterial small subunit ribosomal RNA
Source: RNAcentral